RNAcentral lists this long non-coding RNA (408 nucleotides) under Apteryx owenii (little spotted kiwi). RNAcentral's name for it is "lncRNA (ENSAOWG00000011765.1)". Lineage: Eukaryota; Metazoa; Chordata; Aves; Apterygiformes; Apterygidae. The record is from RNAcentral.
CUGCAGGACUGUGCUCCACCACCUCUCGCUCACAUGGUCCCGCACAGCUCACGCCACCACCAUCAGCCCAACUGCUCGUAAUCCGGCUGCUGGAACGAAGUGGCAGAUGGAAGAGGUUCUAAGAAGCCCCUGUUCAGACAUGAUACAAAGAAACUCCCGGAGGCCCCAAAGUGAGUGCUUGGGCUGGCCAUUGGACACUUCCACGGGAAGAAACUGAAGCAUCUGAGAUGAGUGGCAAAUAUUCCCUCCUGCUCUGCCUUCUUUGCUGGUGGCUGGCAGAAGGACAAGAUGAACACCAGAAGUGACUCCGCUUGCAGUCCCUCAGCCUUGGGGUGCAGGCUGCCUGCUGCUGGUCAUCUGGGAAGGGUUCAUUGCCAGCCCUCUAGCUGGUCCUCUGAGGCCUGGACC